Molecule: small RNA, 323 nt
Filed under: uncultured fungus
Lineage: Eukaryota; Fungi
Description: eukaryotic LSU rRNA
Rfam family: Eukaryotic large subunit ribosomal RNA
Source: RNAcentral
AAGGAGUCUAACAAAUAUGCGAGUAUGAAAGUGUAAAAACUUAUGGAUGCAAAAUGAAAGUAAAGAUAAGUUUGACUUAUUGAAGUGGGAUUUAGCAAGAGAUUUCUUUUGUUAAAGCACCAUUGACCGAUCUGAAUAUUUUUUUGAAAGAUUUGAGUAAGAGCAUAUCUGUUGGGACACGAAAGAUGGUGAGCUAUGGGUGAGAAGAGUGAAGUCAGAGGAAACUCUGAUGGAGGCUUGGAGCGGUACUGACGUGCAAAUCGUUCGUCAUACUUGAGUAUAGGGGAGAAAGACUAAGCGAACCAUCUAGUAGCUGGUUCCCU